UAUAUUUGGCAUUACACUUUCUUGGUAAAGUACAGAUUCUGGUAUUUUUGUUGGGUGAGUCUUAUCCGGGAUUCGGUCACACACUCUAAGAGUCAGGCACCUAACAUCCAGCACACAAA
Long non-coding RNA from Haliotis rubra (blacklip abalone), 119 nucleotides. RefSeq lists it as uncharacterized. The record is from RefSeq and is a predicted model, not a curated record. The transcript is spliced from 3 exons. Lineage: Eukaryota; Metazoa; Mollusca; Gastropoda; Lepetellida; Haliotidae.